RNAcentral lists this ribosomal RNA (493 nucleotides) under Salmonella enterica subsp. enterica serovar Gaminara. RNAcentral's name for it is "partial 23S ribosomal RNA". It matches the Rfam family "Bacterial large subunit ribosomal RNA", at positions 760 to 1251 of the family's 2925-position model. Lineage: Bacteria; Pseudomonadati; Pseudomonadota; Gammaproteobacteria; Enterobacterales; Enterobacteriaceae. The record is from RNAcentral.
CACUAACUGGAGGACCGAACCGACUAAUGUUGAAAAAUUAGCGGAUGACCUGUGGCUGGGGGUGAAAGGCCAAUCAAACCGGGAGAUAGCUGGUUCUCCCCGAAAGCUAUUUAGGUAGCGCCUCGUGAAUUCAUCUCCGGGGGUAGAGCACUGUUUCGGCUAGGGGGCCAUCCCGGCUUACCAACCCGAUGCAAACUGCGAAUACCGGAGAAUGUUAUCACGGGAGACACACGGCGGGUGCUAACGUCCGUCGUGAAGAGGGAAACAACCCAGACCGCCAGCUAAGGUCCCAAAGUCAUGGUUAAGUGGGAAACGAUGUGGGAAGGCCCAGACAGCCAGGAUGUUGGCUUAGAAGCAGCCAUCAUUUAAAGAAAGCGUAAUAGCUCACUGGUCGAGUCGGCCUGCGCGGAAGAUGUAACGGGGCUAAACCAUGCACCGAAGCUGCGGCAGCGACACUAUGUGUUGUUGGGUAGGGGAGCGUUCUGUAAGCCUG